UACGUAGGUGGCGAGCGUUACUCGGAAUUACUAGGCGUAAAGCGCGUGUAGGCGGGAGCCUAAGUCCGCUGUGAAAACCCGUGGCUCAACCACGGGCGUGCGGCGGAUACUGGGAUUCUUGAAUUCGGUAGAGGCAGCUGGAAUUCCGGGUGUAGCAGUGAAAUGCGUAGAUAUCCGGAAGAACGCCAAAGGCGAAAGCAGGCUGCUGGGCCGCAAUUGACGCUGAGAUGCGAAAGCUAGGGGAGCAAAC
Molecule: ribosomal RNA, 250 nt
Filed under: uncultured prokaryote
Description: partial 16S ribosomal RNA
Rfam family: Bacterial small subunit ribosomal RNA
Source: RNAcentral